CCUGUCCGCAGCCGCGCCUCUGCCGCGCCCCAAGGGGCGAGAAGGUGUUCCCAGCGGGACCUCCAACACCCGCGACUCCGGAGGAGCUACUAUGUGUGAUUGUAAUGGUGGUUUGUUACAGGGAAACUGAUAUCCAGCGAAGAGCAAGCAGCUGAAGCUCCCCAGACCCCAACUCCUCGGCUUCCUGGCGCCAGUAUCCACCACCCACCAGGGAGGCAGACAGCCGAGGACACCCACCUGCGGACGCCCCUCUCUGGCAUGUCUCCCUGCAAGGAGCCUCACAAGGCCAAACGCAGGCUGGUGGGAAGGCGCCCGCCAGCACCGCCACAGGCUCCCUCCCCACAAGCAGCUGCACUCCUCGCAACCUUUAAAACCCCUACCUCUCAUCUUUCUGGGAAAUGAAUUUGAGGGCUUACUCUCGUCUCCCAGCUGAGGUCACCCGAAAUAGACCCCCUGCCUUGCCAUCA
Equus caballus (horse) is the source of this 467-nucleotide long non-coding RNA. RefSeq lists it as uncharacterized. The record is from RefSeq and is a predicted model, not a curated record. NCBI's taxonomy places the organism in Eukaryota, Metazoa, Chordata, Mammalia, Perissodactyla, Equidae.